This 250-nucleotide unclassified non-coding RNA is filed under the name plant metagenome. RNAcentral's name for it is "partial contains small subunit ribosomal RNA, internal transcribed spacer 1, and 5.8S ribosomal RNA". The record is from RNAcentral.
GUUGGUGAACCAGCGGAGGGAUCAUUACCGAGUUUACAACUCCCAAACCCCUGUGAACAUACCUUUUGUUGCUUCGGCGGGAUCGCCCCGGCGCCUUCGGGCCCGGAUCCAGGCGCCCGCCGGAGGACCUAAACUCCUGUCUUCAUGAGUAUCUUCUGAGUGCCACAAGCAAAUAAAUUAAAACUUUCAACAACGGAUCUCUUGGUUCUGGCAUCGAUGAAGAACGCAGCAUCUGACUGACUGGAAGCUU